UACAGAGGGUGCGAGCGUUGUCCGGAAUUAUUGGGCGUAAAGAGCUUGUAGGUGGUUUGUCGCGUCUGCUGUGAAAAUCCGAGGCUCAACCUCGGACUUGCAGUGGGUACGGGCAGACUAGAGUGUGGUAGGGGAGACUGGAAUUCCUGGUGUAGCGGUGGAAUGCGCAGAUAUCAGGAGGAACACCGAUGGCGAAGGCAGGUCUCUGGGCCAUUACUGACACUGGAGAAGCGAAAGCCAUGGGGAGCGA
RNAcentral lists this ribosomal RNA (250 nucleotides) under uncultured bacterium. Its description in RNAcentral is "partial 16S ribosomal RNA". It matches the Rfam family "Bacterial small subunit ribosomal RNA", at positions 524 to 771 of the family's 1533-position model. The record is from RNAcentral.